This 140-nucleotide ribosomal RNA is filed under the name Pseudomonas aeruginosa. RNAcentral describes it as "partial 16S ribosomal RNA". It matches the Rfam family "Bacterial small subunit ribosomal RNA", at positions 1393 to 1532 of the family's 1533-position model. Lineage: Bacteria; Pseudomonadati; Pseudomonadota; Gammaproteobacteria; Pseudomonadales; Pseudomonadaceae. The record is from RNAcentral.
CCCGUCACACCAAGGGAGUGGGUUGCUCCAGAAGUAGCUAGUCUAACCGCAAGGGGGACGGUUACCACGGAGUGAUUCAUGAGUGGGGUGAAGUAGUAACAAGGUAGCAGUAGGGGAACCUGCGGCUGGAUCACCUCCUU